RNAcentral lists this small RNA (453 nucleotides) under Histoplasma ohiense. RNAcentral's name for it is "hypothetical lncRNA". Lineage: Eukaryota; Fungi; Ascomycota; Eurotiomycetes; Onygenales; Ajellomycetaceae. The record is from RNAcentral.
UCAGCGGCAUUUGGCAGUGGACAGCGCGUAAAGGAAAUCGACAAUGCAGAGAGCUAUCACUACGAUCUGCUUUGCAUUUUCCUAUGGCUUCCCCGGGGCUAAAAGGAGCUUUAAAGUUAAAAAUAUGGGCGGAUGAUCGACCGAUCAACCCACGUUUGUUCAAAGCUUGCUCUGCCGAGUUUGAAGAAUGGGGUAAUACGUAACAAGACCUCCUUUUGGCGUUAUGAAUCCGGCGCUAUGUACAGAUAUGGAUAUGGAAUGUGGAAAUAUAGAUGAGAAUAAUGAAACAGAACAGUAGAACAAAGUUGAGAGUCUAUGUAGGGAGGGUAUAAUGGUAUGGAUCUAAGGAAUUGAAGAUUUCCAAAACUUCAAGAAGAAUAUGUGCGCGAUGUAAGUUAAAUACAGAGGCAAUAAUAAUAGCAUCGGUAGUAAUGCAAUAAUAGUAUGUACAAG